UACAGAGGGUGCGAGCGUUAAUCGGAUUUACUGGGCGUAAAGGGCGCGUAGGUGGUUAAUUAAGUGGGAUGUGAAAGCCCCGGGCUUAACCUGGGAAGUGCAUUUCAAACUGAUUAACUGGAGUACGAGAGAGGGUGGUGGAAUUUCCGGUGUAGCGGUGAAAUGCGUAGAGAUCGGAAAGAACGUCAAUGGCGAAGGCAGCCACCUGGCUCGAUACUGACACUGAGGCGCGAAAGCGUGGGUAGCGAACAGG
RNAcentral lists this ribosomal RNA (253 nucleotides) under uncultured bacterium. RNAcentral describes it as "partial 16S ribosomal RNA". It matches the Rfam family "Bacterial small subunit ribosomal RNA", at positions 524 to 776 of the family's 1533-position model. The record is from RNAcentral.